This 550-nucleotide ribosomal RNA is filed under the name uncultured bacterium. RNAcentral's name for it is "bacterial SSU rRNA". It matches the Rfam family "Bacterial small subunit ribosomal RNA", at positions 355 to 896 of the family's 1533-position model. The record is from RNAcentral.
UAGGGAAUCUUCGGCAAUGGACGGAAGUCUGACCGAGCAACGCCGCGUGAGUGAAGAAGGUUUUCGGAUCGUAAAGCUCUGUUGUAAGAGAAGAACGAGUGUGAGAGUGGAAAGUUCACACUGUGACGGUAUCUUACCAGAAAGGGACGGCUAACUACGUGCCAGCAGCCGCGGUAAUACGUAGGUCCCGAGCGUUGUCCGGAUUUAUUGGGCGUAAAGCGAGCGCAGGCGGUUAGAUAAGUCUGAAGUUAAAGGCUGUGGCUUAACCAUAGUAGGCUUUGGAAACUGUUUAACUUGAGUGCAAGAGGGGAGAGUGGAAUUCCAUGUGUAGCGGUGAAAUGCGUAGAUAUAUGGAGGAACACCGGUGGCGAAAGCGGCUCUCUGGCUUGUAACUGACGCUGAGGCUCGAAAGCGUGGGGAGCAAACAGGAUUAGAUACCCUGGUAGUCCACGCUGUAAACGAUGAGUGCUAGGUGUUAGACCCUUUCCGGGGUUUAGUGCCGUAGCUAACGCAUUAAGCACUCCGCCUGGGGAGUACGACCGCAAGGUUA